GUAGGGUAAGCUACUAAGGGCACACGGUGGAUGCCUUGGCGCCAGGAGCCGAUGAAGGACGGGACGAACACCGAUAUGCCCCGGGGAGCUGUAAGUGAGCGUUGAUCCGGGGAUGUCCGAAUGGGGGAACCCGCCAGCUUGAAGAGCUGGCACCGCCAUCUGAAUCCAUAGGAU
RNAcentral lists this ribosomal RNA (174 nucleotides) under Thermoactinomyces vulgaris. Its description in RNAcentral is "partial 23S ribosomal RNA". It matches the Rfam family "Bacterial large subunit ribosomal RNA", at positions 1 to 172 of the family's 2925-position model. The record is from RNAcentral. Lineage: Bacteria; Bacillati; Bacillota; Bacilli; Caryophanales; Thermoactinomycetaceae.